AUGUAGAGCCUUAUCAA
This 17-nucleotide unclassified non-coding RNA is filed under the name Mus musculus (house mouse). RNAcentral describes it as "oocyte_clustered_small_RNA5546". Lineage: Eukaryota; Metazoa; Chordata; Mammalia; Rodentia; Muridae. The record is from RNAcentral.